GGAAUAAGAAAUAAUGUAAGGAACAUUUAUUAAAUAAAAAUAAUGGUGCAUGCCUUAGGCAAUCAUGAGCCCCCGUCAAAUCAUGGGUUUAAUGAUUACAAACUUUAAUUUGCUCUCCCUUUCAGUUAAUCAUACUGAUCAUCUAUGGAUUAUGAUCCAUCACAACAAAUGUGACCAACUUUUCUACUUUUGACCAGUAUAAUUAACUAGCUAGCUGAUGCAUGUUAAUGCAUUAGCUAACUAGUUACAAAGGUGCAGAGGUGCAUCCCCAUCCCCGUUUCAAAAGCAGCAGCAACAACAGUAUCAACAUCAGCAACAACAGGCAGCCAACAGCAUCAGCAUCAGCAUCAACAGCAAUAAGCAGCAACAACAUCAAUCCUCUAUAUCUCCUCUUGAAGUCAAGGCUACCUUACUAAUUUGAUAAUCUGCAAAAGUUCAUCAACAACUUUUGUAGGAAUUCAUCAUUCAUAAACCGUCAUUGAUAUUUAGAAUCAUUAAUCAAUUACAACAUGAACUAAAAUAUCAUUAUAAUAGAUUACACAGUACUAAAAUUACCUUCUUUGUCCAAGAUGAAUACGUUUAUGAAUGCAACUAUCUUAUAUGAGUUCUAAGGUGAGAAGUACCGUUAUUAGUUUCUCUACUCAAUAACUUACGACACCCCCACCAACUAAAAUCCUAAUAAAAUGAGGGCCAUACAUCACUCUUAAGACCCCUAGGAACCUUAAUUCCUCCAAUUUCAUUCUCAAUUUCAGCAGCAUGAUUAACAACAGCAAGAGCAGGAGCAUUUGCCUGAUUUGGUUGACCAACAGCAGGAUUAACAGCAGCAUUAACAGCGAUAGGGUUACCUCCAGCAGGUGCAAGGAUGAAGUUCUGAAUGUUUUUGAUGUUGCCGUCUCCCUCUAUUACGAUCGAGCAAUAGAUCAAUAGUCAAUACCUGAAAUCAUGUAGAAACAAACCGACAAAGUUAAUAAGUAAUAAGCUUAAUAACAUAGACAUCUAUGCUGGAAAGCAAGAACAAACGAAAAACUUACCCAAGUAUGAAGCGAAACAGGCUAGACAAAGGAAGAUGGAAAUCGACAGAGAUUUACGGUUGCUGUGUUGGUUGUUAAUUUGACUUUGGGAUGUAGAUUGCAGAGCACAAUCACACUAUUUAUAGGCGGUACAAACCUUCGUAUGAAGAAGAAGAAGAAGAAGGAAAGAAGGAAGUAGAUAUCGGGGAUACCCGAUAAUUGGAUGUAGUGAUUUUCGCCGAAUUAACAUCAAAAUCAUCUAGGUUUGCCGAAAAGACAACUAGAUGAGUUGAUAAUGAUUAAUGAUAGAGACAGAGAGUGAAGAUCGGAAGAAGAAACGGCAAGAUAAUCUUUGAAAUCGAAGGAUUCUAGAGUUUUCUUGAUGAAGGGCAAAACAGCGAAGAAGGGAGAAGUAAAUAUUCAGAAUCGAAGAAAAUGAGUGGAAGUUUUAUCCUCAUUAGGCCGAAAUAUUUGUUUUAUUUACGGGUAUAGAACGACAUCAUUUUAAAUUGGAAACGGUGACGGAUUGGGGACCCUGAUAUCCAUCAUCACCCAUCUC
This 1569-nucleotide long non-coding RNA is filed under the name Linum usitatissimum (flax). Its description in RNAcentral is "long non-coding RNA (LUSI_LNC004851)". Lineage: Eukaryota; Viridiplantae; Streptophyta; Magnoliopsida; Malpighiales; Linaceae. The record is from RNAcentral.